This 253-nucleotide ribosomal RNA is filed under the name uncultured bacterium. Its description in RNAcentral is "partial 16S ribosomal RNA". It matches the Rfam family "Bacterial small subunit ribosomal RNA", at positions 524 to 776 of the family's 1533-position model. The record is from RNAcentral.
UACAGAGGGUGCAAGCGUUGUUCGGAAUUAUUGGGCGUAAAGGGCGCGUAGGCGGUGCGGUAAGUCUGCGGUGAAAUCUCCCGGCUCAACUGGGAGGCUGCCGUGGAAACUGCCGUGCUUGAGUGUGGGAGAGGUGAGUGGAAUUCCUGGUGUAGCGGUGAAAUGCGCAGAUAUCAGGAGGAACACCAAUUGCGAAGGCAGCUCGCUGGGACGUAACUGACGCUGAGACGCGAAAGCGUGGGGAGCAAACAGG